UACAGAGACCUCAAGCGUUAUCCGGAUUUAUUGGGCGUAAAGCGUGUGUAGGCGGAUAUGUUAGUCAGAUGUCAAAUCUUCGAGCUCAACUCGAAAACUGCAUUUGAAACGGCAUAUCUAGAGAUAGGGAGAGAUCAAUGGAACAUAUAGUGUAGCAGUGAAAUGCGUUGAUAUUAUAUGGAACACCAAAGGCGAAGGCAUUUGGUUGGUCCUCAUCUGACGCUGAGACACGAAAGCGUGGGUAGCGAAUGGGAUUAGAAACCCC
Molecule: ribosomal RNA, 265 nt
Filed under: uncultured bacterium
Lineage: Bacteria
Description: partial 16S ribosomal RNA
Rfam family: Bacterial small subunit ribosomal RNA
Source: RNAcentral